UACGGGGGGACCUAAAUCGUGACUUGAUUUUCCCUUUGAUUAGAAGGCAAAACUAGCGUGCUAAGGCUAUCGAGUAGCCACACUCGCUCGUUUCCCUUAUCGAAAGGGGACACUCAAGCAAAAAUGAACCCUAUUGCUAGUAUGGGGUGCAAAAAUCCUAAAAUGAGGGGAAAGGGGAAUCGAGGAGCAUGCCAGAUGAUAAAACUAAGGAAAAAUGCAUGAUAUGUAGUGAACAGGCAAAUAAUGCAUUAAUGAAAAACAAAGGAAAAAUCCUAUUGGGUCUAGCGUUGGACUAGCCCUUUCUAUGAAUUCCUAAUGAAAUGAUGAGCCACAACCAGCAUUGGACUAGUGUGGUGACGUACAUUCAUCCAUCACAUUCAUUCAUGCUAUAAAAAGCGAGUAGACAUGCCAAACACGUAUAAGCACAUAGCACGUAGCACUUAGCAUGCUCGACUAGAUGCAAGAGCCUACUAAAGCAAUUUAACAUGUAACAACAAAAGCAAGCAACCAAGGGGAAGGGGAAAUGGACCAGAUGCUCUACGAGCCCUAGCUAUUACAAGCCAAGAGGUGUACACAUACCCCAUGAAAGCAUAAAGGGGAAGGGGAAAUGGACCAGAUGCUCUCCGAGCCCUAUCUAUUACAAGCCAAGAGGUGUAUACAUACCCCAUGAAAGCAUAAGGGGGAAGGGGAAAUGGACCAGAUGCUCUCCGAGCCCUAUCUAUUACAAGCCAAGAGGUGUACACAUACCCCAUAAAACUCAAAUAAAAGUAAAAGCAAGCAAAUGCACGCAAGGAGGUAAGGAAAGCGGAGUAGGCAUGCAUAUUCACAUAACACGUAGGAGCACGUAGGGUCAAUGAAGUGCAAAUGAGGGAUAGAGUGUACCUCCCUUGAAGCGACGCCCUAACGUAGUGAAAUUACUAACUUACCCUCCAAAAUAAUAAAAAGGUCAAGGUACCACUUAAAUUAUCAAACAAUCACAUGAAACAAAAAUUAAAUAUAAAAAAAUGAAAGUUAAACACUAAAUUGAGUCAAUUAAAGUGUUUACAUAGACAAACCAACUAUGUACAAAGCAAUUAAUGCAAGAGGGACUUAAUUAAAAGGACUGAAAAUUUCUGAAAGAGAGUAAAAUAAACUACCCAAAGUUGAUGACUUAAGAUGAGACCCAUUAAAAUCAAAGGCAAAAAUGUGAUUAGAACACAAAUCCAAGCUAAAAAAAAUUCUAUUAAAAUUUAUUGAAUCUCAAAAUGCAUCCUAAAACUCACUAAACGUCUUACCCAAAAUCAUGUCAAAGCAUACCAAAAGCAAUUAAGAUUCUAGAAUGAUAAAAUUGAUUAAAUUAUUCAACUAAUUGGACCAUAACAAGACAAAGGGGGAAUUUAGGGGGUCAAAAUGCAAGUGUUUUAGGACCUAAUUGUAAGAACAUGGAAUGUAAUUGGGCCAUAGUGAGUCAAUGGGGAACUUGGGGGAUUAAAGGAUAAUUUUUAUUAAAAGAUGUUUACAUGCAUGCAUACGUAGGAAGCAAAUUUUCUGCCAUGAACACAAAUAAAGGAAUUGCUGCAGCAUUGUAUAACUUCAUCAAUCUCCUUUCUUACAACCAUUUUCAUGCCAACUCCUUAUUCAAAUUCAACUCAUUCAUGCCAACACAACAAGAAGAAACAUGCUGGAGUUACUAUCUAACAAAAACAGCAAAAGUUUGGAACCGCAAAUGGAAGAACAUAGCAAGACACAACCGUAAAUUUCUGGUGCAGCAAAAUGAAUAUGCAUUUUCCAGCAAGCACUUUGGCAUGAUUCAAAUGUUUUUUUUAUUUCGUAAACCCAAAACCAUAAACUCAGCACUAAGCUCUCCAGCUCGUCUCUUCAACACAAAAUUAAACAUGCAACCCAAGUGCAAACUCAGAGAGCAACCAUGGACAGAAACAAAAAAAACGCAGCAACUUUUGCUUCCUUCAUUUCAGCUUAGAUAUAUUUGCAUACAAAUGUUCAAACAAGCUCUACCAAAUAUGACAUCUAAAAAUAAAUGCAAGGAAUUCACCCCCCCGAUUACCAUCAAAUACCACCCAAGCAUAAACUGCCUUGAAGAUUCAAACAAAGCCAAAGGACAAAAAAAAAAUGCAGCAAAGAAAGCAUAAAACUCGGCAAAUUUCCAUUCCUGUAAUUCUUGUGUUCAUUUUAAUGCAACUUUCCAUCCCAAACACGGCUAAAAUCUCAACCAAACAGAACAAUAAUGUCAACCGAACACUAAAGAUAACAUAACAUGCAAAACCAAAACUUGAACAAAAGAAAAGAAAGAAAAUCAUGACUGCCGCAGGCCUUCGGCUUCUUGAGGCAGUCUAAUAGUACACCACACCUUGCUACUCGAAGUGGCAGCAAGCACACACACGGGACACCAUAAAACAACAAACAAAACCCCAUAGGUAAUUUAGGCCAUUCUGGAAAACCCUCUCCGCCUAAAAGAUUGAUUUUUCCCUCAAAAAACUGCUGCUAUAAAAACAGAAUUUCGAACCUGUUGCAGCAAUCUUUCAUACGCAACCAGAACCAAACUAAGACUCAAACAAAGCCUCAUGGAUUUAUUGUUUAACCAUCACAGAAAAUCCUUAACCCCUGUUCUUAAACAUACUCAUCUUUUAGACUCCUACUGCAUCUUAUCUUAGCAAAUGAGCAACAUGGCAGAGUCAAAAACAUCGAAAAUUUGAACCAGCAUCCACUCAAGAAACCAGAGACAACAUAGGUUUGUUGCUGGCUAAGAGAAAACAGAGAUAACUCCUAUGCAAACAGUCUUGGGAAUGCACGCUAAUGCAGAGCCUAGAUGCUACCACAUGAUACCCAUAUUGGAGUCAAUCAGCGCAUGAAAAUAAAAUAAAAAUAACCGCAAGACUGAGAACAAAAAAUCAAAUAGCCCAGGUCUUGAUUACAGAGGGGGUGUGCAGGCGGAAGAGGAUAAGCAAGUUGUUACCUUGGGAGCCCUAACAACUGCUGUGUAAAACGCUUGAGCUUGAAGCGAUUGAACUCCUCGAAACUGCUAUGACCUUGAUGAGGCACUUGUCGGCGAAAGUUUUGGAUGUUCUCGAUCUUCUCCGCUUGCCCGAAACCCAGCUCCUCUAUUUCCUUCCUUUGUUUUUCUUAAGUUUUGCAGCCGUCACUUGAUGCCCAUUCUCUCUAAUUUCUGUCUUCCCCCCUUUCUCCAAAACUCUCCUUCCUUCUCCCACCUUUUGCCGUCUGUUUUUCUCUCCUUUCUCUCCUCUCUCCCCGUUAGCUUUCCCUAUAGCCGUUCCCUUUGGUUCCAGAUUUCCUCCUACACUAGCUCUCUGUGCUUUUGUUUUUGCCUUCAGACCCCCUUCUCCCCAAAACCCUUGCUCAGAUUUUCUUUCGGCCUGUCAAUGCUCUCCAAAAAAUUCCCUCUUGCGGCUGAUGUUUUCUUUCUGCUUUUAUAUGGAACUCCAAGGCCCUUAAACCCUCCACUGAAUGGUCAAGAUGAAGGCCAGCCUCUGCCUUCAUCCUGCCCUUCAAUGGCACGUACGAAGUUAGCCCUUUGCAAGUUGCCAAAAAUGCAGCUUGCAGGCCACGAUCCUCUUUUUUUUUUUUUUUUUUUUUUUUUUUCAAGAAAACUAAUACAACUUGAUAAUUACAGAAAUGACAAAAUAAAUAAUAACAAAAUUACACAAACCAGGUAAUAAUAAUUAUAACAAAACAACAAUAAUUUUAAACAAAACACUAAACAAAAAUGGCCAUUUUUAAUUUUCAAAUUUUCUCUUUUCAUCAUUUUCUUUUUCUCAAAAUAACUUAAUAAAAAUAACUAAAGUGCCCAAAGAUUGAAUUUAAAGAAGUAAACAUAUUUUUGUGAACAAUUUUUCCUUUUUCUUUUUCCUCUUCUCUCUCUCUUUUUUUUUAUUUUUCCAAUCCAUCUAAAACCUAUUUUUUUUUUGAAUUUUUCUUCUUUUCCUCUUUUUCUUUAAUUUCUUUUUUCUCCUUUUUUAUGAUUUUGCAUUUUCAUUUUUCUUUCAAGAAAGCAUUGAAUAAAAACAAAAUGACUAAAAUGAUUUUUCUUUUCUUUCUAAAAACUCUAUAAACUUAAAAACUAAAAAAAAACUAAAAACUAAAACUGAAAUUUAAAACUUAAAAGUGAUUAAAAACCUAAAAUGACAAAAAUAAAAAUAAAAAUGAAUAGACAAACUAAAAGGGCAAAAUGAAUAAAACUAAAAUAAAAUAACAACUAGAAAUGCAAAACACACAACAAUGAACUAAAUGCAAGCGAUCUAAAAUAAAAUCAUGAAGUAGAUACCGCAUACAAAUUAAGACACACAUCGUUGUUAGAGAAAUUUCAACUACAACUACAGAAAAUGACUUUGACAUGAAGAUUCACUUUCCUUAAGGAAAUUUACCCGAACUAUUCUACUACCUGGUUUGCAGUAAUUCCCUCUAAAAAUAACAAAGCCAACCAAAAUUUUCACACAGUAGUAUAAAGAAAUUCUCCCAAGAACGGUUUAGAGAAUUAUUGUUUUGAUAAAAAAUAGAAGAAUAAUAAAUCUAAAAGUAAAAAGUCAAUUGUCUUGAUAUCUAACCAUCCUUAUUUAUAAUGUUCGGACACCCCAAAAGAAAUAUCAUGUCUUUCGGAAACAUACUUCUUCCUGAAUAGACAUCUUUUAAAUGAAUAGACACAAUUCAAAUGACUAGACACUUCCUUAAGAGUUGUACUACUUUACGCUAGACACAACUUUUAGAACAUCCCAAAUAUCAUGACACUUAAAUUGGUGUGCAAACCUUUCCAUUCUCCUCUAACUUUCAAUGAAGAGUCAUCAUGUGAAGAUUCACUUUUUUUAAGGAAAUUUGCCCCCACUAUUCUACUAUCGGGUUUGCGGCAAUUGUCUCCAAAAAUAACAAAGCCAACCAGAAUUUUCACACAGUAGUAUGAAGAAAUUCUCCCAAGAACGGUUUAAAGAAUUAUUGUUUUGAAAAUAAGUAAAAAAAUAGUAAAACUAGAAGUGAAAGUGAGUUUUUCUAAUAAAGUUUAGACACCCCAAAAGAAAUGUCAUGUCUUUUGGAAGCAUACUUUUUCCUAAAUAGGCACCUUUAAAUGAAUAGGCACAAUUCAAAUGACUAGACACAGUGACGGAGCAAGGAUUUUUUCCUUGGGGAGGCCAAAAUUUUUUCGAACAAAAUUACCUUAAUAUGUUAUGUUCAAAAUAAUUUUUAUUUAUUUAAAUAUAUGACAUCUUAAAAUAUCAAAUAUUAACUUUAAUUAUAAAGGUAUGCCUAUUUCAUAAAUAAGUAACAUAGUCAUAACUAAAAUUAAGACAAAAAAUAACCUUUGAUUAAAUAUUUUAUAACAUCACAAACUACCUAAGUUGCACAUUAUGAGAAGAUGCUCCAAUAUGUCACUUGUGCAAAAACAAAAAUAUAACUAUGUAAUAUAAAUAUAACUAUUUUCAAUUAAAAAAAGAUAAAAGUUAUGUUAGCAUACCUUGAAAUUUCAUCCUCUUUUAUGAAAAGUAAAUUGAGAUUUACGUUCUUUUAUAGAACUAAAUUUAUGUAUAAUUGAAUCAAUGCUAAAUUUUCGAACAACUUCCUUUUUUUAUGUACAUUGUUAGACAAUCAUUCAAGAAAUUAUCUUUUAUCUUGUUUUGGAGUUUUGUUUUGAUUAUCUUCAUAAUUGAAAAUGUCCAUUCUAUAGACUAUAGAAUGGAGCCAAAAAUUUUUCCUUGGGAGGGGGGCCAAAAUAUUUCUAAAAAAAAUUAUCUUAAUAUGUUAUAUUCAAAAUAAUUUUCAUCUAUUUAAAUAUAUGACAUCUUAAAAUAUCAAAUUUUAAUUUUAAUUAUAAAGGUAUGUCUAUUUCAUAAAUAUGCAGCAUAGUCAUAACAAAAAUUAGGAUAAGAAAUAACCUUUGAUUAAAUAUCUUAUAACAUCACAAACUACCCAAAUUGUACAUUAUGAGAAAAUGCUCCAAUAUGUCAUUUGUGCAAAAACAAAAAUAUAACUAUUUUCAAUUAAUAAAAGAUAAAAGUUAUGUCAGCAUACCUUGAAUUUCAACCUCUUUUCUUAAAAGUAAACUGAGUUUUAUGUUCUUUCAUAUAACUAAAUUCAACUAUAAUUGAAUCAGUACUAAAUUUUUGAACAACUUCCUUUUUUUUAUGUACAUUGUUAGACAAUCAUUCAAGAAAUUAUCUUUUAUCUUGUUUUGGAUCUUUAUUUUGAUUAUAUUCAUAAUUGAAAAUAUCCGUUCUAUAGUUGCAGUUGACAUAGGAAGAGUGAGAACAAAUAUAAUUAAUCUGUCAACAACAAAAUAGAUCACUCAAUUUCUUGUCUUCACCAAACUUUCAAGUAAUUAUUUGUACAUUUGUAUAUGGGUCAACAAGAGUAUAGAUCACUAAUUUUAAAUUUUUUAUCAAUUAGGCUAAAUUGUAUAUUUGUAUAUGGACCAAUAAAGUAAUUAUUUUUGUUUUAGCCCAUUGAUAAUUAUGAAUUGAGUUUUUUAUUAUAAUAUAUCAAAUUGGGUCAAUUUACUAUGGAUUAUCAAAUUAUAUGUUUAAUUUUUUGAAUGUUAAAUAAUUAGCACAAUAAAAGAUAAAUAACUUUUUUUGAAGAAAAAAUUAAAUCAAAGUUGGCUAAUUCAUACACAUACACACAGAUAUAUAUAUUUAUAUAUAUAUAAACUCUCAUAAUAUAAACUAAAAUUGUAAAAAAUUAGGGAGGGCCAACUUUGUCUUAUACAUAUAUUUACAUAUUAUGAAUUAAAAUUUUCAAAACUUAGGAGGGGCCAUGGCCCCCCUCAGCCCCCCUGGCUCCGUCAUUGCUAGACACUUCCUUAAGAGUUAUACUAGUUUACAUUAGACACAACUCUUAGAACAUCCCAAACAUCAUGACACCUGAAUUGGCGCGCAAACCUUUCCAUUCUCCUCUAACUUCCAAUGAAGAAUCAUUACUAACUAUAUCCAACAAUCAUUUCUUUAAAUAGGUGUCUUUAAAACAUUUUUAACAUUUACGCAUAAAAUAGGUGUCCUUCGAUUUAAACCUAUUAUUAGUAUAAUUAUUUCAAAACCUGGUUGAAAUUGAUGGUAAUUAUAAAUUUUAAACCACAAUUCCUACAUAACAAGAUCGGAAAUAACUAUACACAUAAAUCUUACUUAUUUCUUGUAAAAUGUUCACCAUGAAUUUUAGCACCGUAUUAUGGCCUUGUGCUACCUCCUGAUUCAUGAACUCUUACAAAAGCUUUAGUCCAAACUUUUGAUAGAAGUGGCACCACCUCUGGAGUUCAUAUAAGUGAAGUCUAUCUUGGAAUCUUGUAAUUAGACUACCUUGUUCUUAUACCAAACGUGUUUACUUCAUUAAGAAUAAUUUAUUCAACCUCCUUAUUUCAUAAGUACUUUUGAUUACUAGUACUUGCUAAUAGUCAAACGAUAACUUGUUAUUACCUAUUAAACCUUUAGAAUUACUUGGUAAUAAGAAAGGUUAGGUUACCAUUACCAUUGACAAUUUUAGAAUGGUUUUAGGCCCAUAGCACUUGUAGUGCUUUUGAUAAUUUCUCUUGAGAGUCCUUUAGUUAAAGGAUCAGCAAGAUUAUUAACAGAUUUUACAUAGACAACUGUUAUAAUUCCAUCAUAAAUGAAUUGUCUUACAUAUUCAUGUUUUCAAACAAUAUGUCUAGAUUUAUCAUUAUAAAUCUUGCUAAAUGCCCUAGACAUAGUUGCUUCACUAUCACAGUGCAAAGAGAUGACUGACAUCGGUUGUGGCCACAACUCUAUAUCUAGCAAUAAAUUUCUUAGCCAUUCUGCCUCUUUACCUGCUAAUGCUAAUGCAACAAAUUCAGAUCCCAUAGUCGAAUGAGUAAUACAUGUCUGUUUCUUUGAAGCCCAUGAGAUAGCUCCUCCGCCUAUUUUAAAAAUCCAACCAAACAUUGAUUUAUUAUCAUUUAUACUAGUUAUCCAACUAGCAUCACAGUAACCUUCAAGUACAGAAGGAAACUUGAUAUAAUACAAUCCAAAAGACUUUGUCUUUUUAAGGUAACUUAAUACUCGUCCAAUUGCUCUCCAAUGGUCAGUACUAGAAUUAUGAGUAAAGCUAGAAAGUUUGUAAAUAGUGAAUGCAAUAUCAGAUCUAGUACAAUGCAUAGCAUACAUCAAACUAUCAAUUGCACUAGUAUAGUCUAAUUGACUAAUAGAUCUUCCCAAAUUUUUCACUAGCUUAUUAGAAAUAUUAGAUGGGGUAUUAGCUUCUUUUAUAUCCAAAUGAUUAAAUUUGGAUGGAAUCUUGUCAAUGUAAUGAGAUUGACAUAGAGCAUAACCCCCACUAUAUUUCUUAAUAUUGAUUUCUAAGAUGAUAUCAACUUCUUCCAAAUCUUUCAUUUUAAAUUGGGAGGUUAAAUAUCCCUUAGUUUCAUUUACUCCUUGCAUGUUGGUCCCGAUGAUUAACAUAUCAUCUACAUAAAGACAUAUAAUUACACUAUAAUCUUUGGUAACUUUGGAAUAUUUACAUUUAUUUGCUUCAUUAUGUCUAAAGCCAUUUGUUAAAAUUACAUUAUCAAACUUCUCAAGUCAUUGUUUUGGAGCUUGCUUUAAACCAUACAAGGAUUUAACUAAUUUACAAACUUUCUUUUCAUUUCCAGGAAGUAGAAACCCUUCGAGGUGCUCCAUAUACACUUCCUCGUCUAGAUCUUGUGACGCCCCCCACUUCUCCCAAGGGCGAACCCAAGGGUAUCCGCGAGACGCCUGCCCAGCUCUCGCCAGGACUCAAGACAAAUCAAAUCGAACUUAACGAUACAUACCAAAUACUACGAGUCAAAAUGAAGAAAAGUCACUUCCUUAACUAAAUAUUUAAAUCUUACAUCAUGUCCACAAAAGAUACAUCAAGUUCCAAAAUGCAACCAUUAAAAGUCGACUACACAUUUACAGCCCUGAUUCCAAUCAAAAGUAUAAUCUAGUCGGCUUUACCAAAAUCUUCCAAUCCAACCUGUUAAGGAAAACAAACUAAUAGGAUGAGCCAAUACUCAGUGAGGCCAAGAAAACACACAUGCAAACACAUAAUCCAAGUAGCAACAACAAUUACAUUGUAGGUAAGACUAUCAAAUUCGAAUAAUUCACAUUUCGAAUAGGAAAAAUAAACAGAAAUAAUUCAAGGAUACUGUAGCUCUCAGGAGCUAAAUUCCACGUAGUCGAGUCGAAGUCUUGAUCACAUCUCACGUUGACACUCCGUCAACCACAUAAGUAUCAAAUCCGUAGAUACACCACUUUUCUUCGAAUCCCGUCACCGUUACACCCCCUUACCGGGCCCGCUCAUCAAAGUUUUUGAUAAUACUCGAGUAUAUCAUGGCAAUACUGCACGAGUAAUGCCGAGCAAGAUCUCUCCAAUAGAUCAUGCUCUACGAAUAUCUCAUGGUUUGCUAAGCUUAUCGACCAAGCCCAUGCUGGCUCGAUUCGCAAAGUUAGCCAACGAGUUUUGGGCAUCCCCCGAAUAUGAAUACGAAUACGAAUAUAAGUCGAUGAGCAAUGCUCAAAUCGACGAUUCCAAAUAGGAAUCACAAAUACGGAUCACAUAUACGAAUCACAAGUACAAAUCACAUCCACAUUACCAUGUACAAGUUGGAUACGAAUUCACAUAGCAAAAUUCGAAUAUAAUUUCAUUUGAAAGAGAACGAGUGCGAUAAAGUACACCCUCGUCUCAAAAUUUCAAAUUUACAUAACGGAUAAGAAACAGAUAACCACUUAACAACAAGUUCAUGCACUUGACACUCACAGUGAUUCAAGUAGCGAGUUCAAAUGAUGGUUUAGGCGUCUCCCGUGAGAUCCUCUGGAAGGUCCUCUUGAGCGCCUGAGCAUUUAAUAGUGAAUUAUCAUUCACAUAUCCCAAUUAUCAAGGAAGAUUGUGCACUAGUACAAUCUGGGGAAAUUUCAUGAAAAUGAACCUCAAUUACUAGUAAAUCGAGGUUCAAGUGGAGUUUCUUAAUGUACAAGAGCAAUCGAGUUUUGUUAUCUUGGAAAUCAAGCAUAAACGUUCAAGUAUUAUCGAAGGAAUAAGGAAUACUUGAAAAACUCCAUUUCCUUGAAAUUCAGAAAAUUUUAGUUUUGAUACGAUAUUUUGAAAAAAUCGUAUCUCAGAUUCCACAUGUCGAAAAUUGGAAAACUUGGUACCGUUGGAAACCUCUUCCAAAGUACUAAAAGUUAUUAGAAGACACUUUUCCAUGAAUCUAAGUGGAAGGUGUUCAAAAAUGAGCUUAAAGUUGCUGUUCCAAAUCACCCAGGAUUGAGCCGGGGUUGGUUUUUCGCUAACUUUGAAAAUUCAGAAGAAUUCACUCGUUGUAAACCAGCCCUUGAAAUUUGUAGCUCAAUUAGAGGUACAAGUAAGGUUUAGGGUAGAAUAAGCGGAUCGAGAAUCGGAGUUUCGAGACCCAAGAUAUGGUAGCUCAAAGUUGGAUAGAUUUCAAGACUGUUAACAAAUUUCCAGAUUUGGUUCCGACUUUGGACCUUUAGUUAAGUGUCGAAACGGACUUGGAUUGAUACCAAAUUUUGCAGUAUAAUACUCCUAUAUGAAAGGUAUCUCUCUAUCAAAUUUUAUGGAAAAAUACCCUCGGAAGGGUGGUCAUUCAAUCAACCAAAGUUUGGAAAAAUCCUUAAGGCAAUCUGUCCAAAACUAAGGUUUUCAAAAACGAGGCAGUUGCCGUGUAUUGAUCAUAACUCCCUCAAUUUAACUCGGAAUUGGAAAUGGUUGAUAGUGUUAGAAAAUAGAUUCAUAGGGCUACAACUUCACAGAAGAAAUCGUUUUAAGUUUCAGCAUGCAACUGGUUCAAAAUCAAGCCUAAAGUUGCAGCAUCAUCAAAUCAUUUCGGCAGAACGGAGAAACAGGACAGUCGACUUCAGAUGAAUGGUGUGGCUCACACACACGAAACCUGAAGGUCCAUUAUACACCGUUGGAAACAUGGGAACGUCUAGUUUCAAAUACCGCUAACGGCACUUGAUUUCGACGUCGGAGUACGGAGUUAUGGACGAAAUACAAACACUGGUCUGGAUUACGGCGAACCCGUUUUCCAGAUUACUAGUUUUUGAAAUAAAUUCGUUUGAUCAACCAAAACUCAAUAUUUUCCAACGAAAUUUUGUGCACAACUUCUGCAACAUGUAAUCAACAUAAUCAGGCCAUUAAAUCCUCAGUUUCUGCAUUAAAAUGACCGAACAGAACAGGGGUAAAAUGGGAACUUUUUACUUCAAGAGUUCAACAACGUUUCUGUCCACAAUACACCUUUAAUCUACUUCCUUAAGCUCUAAUUCAGCAAUAAAACCAUCAUCAAACAUCAUCACAGCCAUCAACCCAAAGUGGGAGUUCAUAGAGCCCACGUUUCCAACAAUACAAGCUACUAAAGUGAAGAUUCCAACUCAAAUGCAUAGAUCAACUUCCAUAAGACAAAUUCAAGGUGCUUGAUUAGUACCUACUUUGAUGACUGGUUUGGACAGAUUUUUCGGCCCCUUUGAAGCUUGAAGAAACCGUGGAUAGCUCCUUCCUUUUGCAGCUAAGUUGCCGUCCAAGUGAAAAGCUAAAUGAAUGUGGAGAUUGGUAAGAAUCUAUGGAAGUUUUGGUAAGGAUUUGGAUGAGUUUUGGAAGAAAGAAAUGGUGAAGCCUCGGUUGUCUCUUGAUGUCUAGCCGUCCAUGAAGCUUUGCAGAAAUGAAAUGAGAUUGAAAUGAAGCUACGGUUCUGAAGCCUUUGCGUACGAAAGACGCUUGACGUCAAAUCUUUUAAUACGUCAAAUCAAUUAUAACUAGUACCCUACGCGCGCGUUUUGUGUUCGAUUUCUCUUACGUUUGUUGCACUAGUGCACUAAACCUCUAGGGUACUUACAUUUAUAUAAAUAUUAUCCAUUCUUAAUUGUCCCAAAAUAAUGGUCCAAAGUCCCUCAAUUAAGCGCGCACGUGAAAACACGUAUUUCUAAUUUAGGCGCAAUAAUAUUGAAACCUUUGAGAAAUUCUUAUAACGAUCGUACCACUAGCUAUCACUUGUGUGUUUAAACCUAAAAUUGUCUAUUUCAGGACCAUUGUAUAGGUCUCAAAUUUUUGAGCUUAUUGUACUCCUAAUUGGCUAAAGUUUUCAGACACGUUUUCACUUUUUCACUAAACAAGUUUCUAAGAAAAUAAUUUUUGAAACGAGACACUUUAAAAAUAUAACGAAGCUAUAAAACCAUAUAUUUAGGUCUAAUAAGGAUAGAAAAUAAUAUUCGGGCAAAAAUCCAAAUAGAUAAUUAAUUGAGCCAAAAUUAGGGGUUUAAAAAUAAUAAUUUUACGAGUGCUCACGUGAAUUGAGUAUUAAUUCCUCAAUUAACCUUUCUUAAUCUAUUAUUGAUCGUUCUUAAUUCUCCAAUAUUAAUACACUCUCGAUUCAAAUAUAGUCUCGAAAAACGUGCACUCGUUGUUCCGAACUAAACGAGUUUUCGAAAAGUGAAUUUUUCCAACAAAACGCUUUUAAAAAUAUAAAAGAGGCGUCGUUCCAUAUAAAUGGAUUUUAAAUGAUCGAAAUAAUAAUUUGGAGAAAAAUGAGUAAAUAAAUAUUUAAACAAACUACUAAUAUUCGAUAAAAUAAAAUAAAAAAAUUUCGGGUCCUCACAGAUCUCCACUUAAGAAUGUUGUUUUAACAUCCAUUUGAUGAAUGUAUAAAUCAUAUAUGGAUGCUAAAGCAAACAACACUCUUAUAGAAGUAAUUCUUGCAAUAGGAGCAUAUGUUUCAAAAUAAUCAAUACAUUUUUUUGUUUAAAACCCUUUGCUACAAGUCUUGCUUUGAAGGUUACUAACUAACCAUCAAUGCUACGUUUUCUUUUAAAUAUCCACUUGCAUCCUAUUGGUUUACAACUAGGAGGUAAUUCACAAAACACCCAUGUACCAUUUGACACAAGAGAAUCCAUCUCAUCAUUAAUUGCUUCUUUCCAAAAAGUUGAGUCUCUUGAAGCUAAUGCUUCUUUAUAAGUUUUAGAAUCCUCUUCCAAAUGUAAUAAUAUAGGUAUUUUAUUAAAUACCUCAUUUCUACUACCUUUUACUAAGAAGACUAUUGAUUGUGAAGAAAUAAAAUCUGGAUCCAAAUUCUUCUCUUUUCGUGCUCUCUUGCUUCUCCUAGGUCCUCUAGGAGUUUCAUCGAUUUUCCUUUUAUUAUUAUUUGAAGAAUAAUUAGGACUCAUAGUAGUGUUUUGUGAUAAUAUAGAAUGUGGUUUGAAUCACUUAGAAAACUUGUUUCUAAGAACUCAACAUCUCUAGACUCCACAAUUAUAUUUGAAUCUAAAUCCAAUAAUCUAUAUGCUAUUGAAUUCUCAACAUAUCCCACAAAAACACUUUUUAAACUUCUUGGUCCUAACUUUGGUCUUUUAGGGUCUGGAACCCUAUAAUAGGCUAAACAGCCCCAUACCCUCAAAUAAUCCAAAUUUGGUUUUCUACCUUUCCAUAGUUCACAUGGCGAAAUCUUAGUCUUCUUUGAGGGUAUUCGAUUAUACACAUGACAAGUGGUUAAUAAAGCUUCUCUCCAAAGAUUAAAUGGUAAUCUAGCAUGCAUAAGCAUAGCAUUUACCAUAUCAACCAAUGUUUUAUUUUUUCUUUCGACUAAGCCGUUUUGUUGAGGAGUGUAAGGUGCACUUGUUUGAUGAAUUAAACCAUUUUCUUCAAAAAAAAAACCAGAAAAUUCAUUGGAAAAAUAUUCACCUCCUCAAUCACUUCAUAGGACUUUAAUUUUCUUUUCCAAUUGAUUUUCAACUAAGGCCUUAAACAAUUUAAACAUAUCUAAUGAUUGAUCUUUUGUUCUCAUUAAAUAAACAUGUAUAAAUCAAGAAUGAUCAUCUAUAAAAGUUAUGAAAUAUCUAUUUCCACUCCUUGUUAAAUGACCAUUCAAUUCACAUAUAUCAAAAUGUAUAAUUUCAAGCAAUUUAGAAGUUCUUUCAUUCUUUGGAAAAGGUUUCUUUGUCUUCUUUGCUUGCAGACAUGUUUCAUAUUUUUCAAAGUUGUCAUUUGUGCAGGAUAUUAAUCCAUGUUUUGACAUGAACUUGAUUGACCUAAAUUAACAUGUGACAAACGAGUAUACCAUAAAUUAAUAGAAGACUCAAUCAAAUAAGCAUAAAUAACUUUAUUGAUACUUAGUUUGAACAUGCCCUUACAUGAAUAUCUUUGGCCAACAAAUUUAUUAUUUUUGGAUAGAACUACUUUUUCUGCCUCUAUGACAGCCUUCAAUCCCUUGUUGCAAAGUACACUUGUAGAAACCAAAUUCUUCCUUAUGUCAGAAUCAUGAUAGACAUUGGUUAGAACCAACGUUUUGCCAGAAGUAAACUCCAAUUCAACCCUCCCCUUUUCAAGCACAUUGGAUGUGUUACGAUUUCCCAUUAACACAAUCUCAUUUGGGACAGCAACUUGAUAAUCUUUGAAUAAAUUCUUAUCAUUGCACACAUGAACAGUAGCACCCGAAUCAUACCACUAAUCAUUAGAUUGACAAUUUGUCAAGUUGCAUUCAAUUACCACAUUGAUAGAAAGUCUACCAACCAUAGCAACAAUUUUUGAAUUAUUGGGAAGAGGAUCUUCAACAACGUUUGCCUUUUUGUGUUCAGCAUUUACUUCCGUUUUCAACUUCUUGUAGGACCUACAUUCUUUCUUCAAAUGUCCUUUCUUACCACAGAAAAAACAUGACUUGUCUUUCUUAUUAUUGGCUGAAAUUUUAGAAGACAUUUCUCCAUGUUUUCCCUUUUUGCCGGAUAUAUUUCCACCCUUUCUAGAUUUUUUCUUAGCAUUAGACUUAAUAUUAUUCACUUUAGAACCAGAUUCCAUAGCAAAUUUAUUCUCACGAAUACGAGUUUCCUCUUCAAUUCAGAUAUGCUUUGUAAGUUGGUUUAUGGUGAAAUUUUCAGAAGUGUGCAGCAGUUUCUUCCUAUAGUCAUUCCAAGUGGAUUGUAAUUUUACAAUCAUAGCACCCACUUGAAGUUGAUCUGACACUUCAAUACUUAAAUCCUUUAGUCUAGACACUAACAGAAGUAAUUCAUCCACUUGAUUCAUCAUAGAUUUGUUGUCCAACAUUUGAAACUCAAAGAACUUCAUAGUUAAAAUUUGUCCGUACCUUGUUUUUCAUACAUGUAUUUGUUCUCCAAAGCCUUCCAAAUUUCUUGUGGUGAUUUAAGAGAGCGAAACAGAUCAUAUAGAUAGUCAGACAAGGUGUUUAAGAUGAAGCUCUUACAACGAACUUGGUCUUCCUCACGUUUCUUGCCGCUUGGCUUGAUCUCAUCAGAUUAUUAGCAGAUUAUCAGCCAACAGGUAUGCAAUGCCUAAUUCCAUGAGAAGGAAUAGCAACUUGUCUUUCCAGCAGGUGAAGUUGGUGCCAUCAAAACGAUCCAACUUGAUCAUAUCAGACUUGAAAUUUUUGUUCAGAACAUUAUCCGAACUGGUGCCCUCCAUGUUGGAAAUUUCCUUAAGAUUGUUAGAGAAGUUUUAACUACAACUACGGAAAAUGAUUUUCAUGUGAAGAUUCACUUUUUUUAAGGAAAUUUGCCCCCACUAUUCUACUACCGGGUUUGCUGCAAUUUCCUCCAGGAAUAACAAAGCCAACCAGACUUUCCUCACAGUAGAAUGAAGAACUCCUCCCAAGAACGGUUUAGAGAAUUAUUGUUUUGAAAAGAAGUACAUAAAUAGUAAAACUAGAAGUAAAAGUGAGUUUUCCUAAUAUCUAAACAUCCUUAUUUACAACGUUCAGACUCCCCAAAAGAAAUGUCAUGCCUUUUGGAAACAUACUUCUUCCUGAAUAGGCAACUUUAAAUAAAUAGGCACAAUUCAAAUGAUUAGACAAUUUCUUAAGAGUUGUGCUAGUUUACGUUAGACACAACUCUUAGAACAUCCCAAACAUCAUGACAAUUGAAUUGGUGUACAAACCCUUCCAUUCUCCUCUAACUUCCAAUGAAGAGUCAUCACUAACUAUAUCCAACAAUUGUUGUUGCUUAUUUUCCACUCUUAGCUAUCGCAAUCAACAAUCCAUCUUCUCUGCCAGAUAAUAUUGAAUCAUAGUCAUCACCUUCAGCAAAUAUCAGCUCUCCAACCUCCUAUACCCCUUAGAUUGCUGUGUAGCUCCAUUACCAAUUGGGGACCUUACAAAAUGUAACUACAUUAACCACCACGUGAACAAAACAGCACCAAAAAAAGCAUAGCCUUAAGCCCAGCUUGAGGCUGAACUUGAAAAGCCAUAAUUACUGCCACAAGCUACCUUAAAGAGCAGGACACGAACACUGACAUUUUGGAUAGCCUAGCUACUCAUUGUGUAUAUAUGCCUCCUAAAAUAGCAUUAUGCCUAGACAACAUACCACUUUUUGUUAUUCUAUUGCCGCAUCAGGCUAGCAUAUGUAAAUACCAAAAUCUAGCUACUGCUACUACUUAUCUAAGUCUAGCUUUUAGUUAAACCCCACUAGCUGCAUUCUUGAACCAAAGAGAGCUAACAUCACACCGGCAUCCAACUGAUAGAAUCACAUCAAACAAGUUGACAAUCAAGACAACCUGAAGCAUAGCGUCGGGCAUGAACACUAGUGUGUGUGUGAGUGUUUGUGUAUUUAUGUAUAUAUGAUGUACGUACACAUGUAUAUUAGCCUUUUAUUAGUUGGUCCUUUUAUUUGGAUUGAAAAUUUAUUUCUAUAUUAGAGUGAUGAUUUCAAAAUAUAUAUAAUAUAGUUUCAAACCAUUCUUCGGAUGUUGAAUUAGAAUACUCCAAUAACACUGUCUAUGUGAACCCAUACCCAUUUAAAUUUCAUUUAGUUAAGAAAUAGUAUAAAAAUAGAGUCACUUCUUUUUUCUACUUAGAUAAAAAAACUCAUGAAGUAUUUCAAUUUAUAUAUUUUUUAAAUGAAUUUUCCUGGACCAAUACACGAAUUUUUGGGGUCAGGUCUAAUCUUAGGAGGUCUACGAGUAGUAUUACUUCCCAACUUGAUUGCAACUAUUGGUAUCAAACAAACCCAUUUAGUUAAAUUUACCUAUACACACACAUGAACAGCUGGGUGUGUGUAUCUUACAUUUUUAUAUAUGGGUAUAAAUGGGUUAUCCAAUAAUACCCAUUUAAUAAAUGGGUGUAAUUAACCUAUUUAGAAUUGUCUUCACAAUCAAAUCCAUUUAGAAUUGUUUUCAGUAAUAGUAUCCUAAUUUCUUCAUCACCUUGGACCAAACAUAGCAUUAGAAAGUGGAGAACCUAAUGGAAAGAUGGGAGAAUCUGUUGGCCAGUUUUCAACUUAGAGAAAAAAAAUGACUAUACACUUGGAGAUUUUUUGUCCUGUUUUUAUUUGUAUUUUCAUGGUAUCUAGUUUCAAAUUCAUAAGUUGGUCAAUCAUUGUUUAAUCUCUCUUUUUCAUGGUUCCAAAUCCUCUCCAUAUUGCAUAUAAAAAAUAUUCUUAUUGUUCAUUUAUUAAAUAGUAUGUAAUUUUGUGACAUAACACACAAAUGGGAAAAAAAUGGUAAUUAGACUUAUUGGGUAUUAUAAGUAAAUAUUUAAAAUUAAUGAUGGGUGCAAACUGCAAAGGGUGGUAUAAAUUGAUAACUUAGUUUACAAAAUAAAUUUAGAUGAGUUUGUAAAAAGUUAGAAUAAAUGGGUUGUAAAUGGGUAAUUGGGUUACCCAACUCAUUUUUUGACUUAUCCAUUUAUACCUAUCUAAUUAAACGCGUAUAAAUCGGUUGACUCACUUAUACCUAAUACUUAUUUUAACCCGUCCAAAUCACCUAUUUUGACACCUCUAAUUGCAACUAUUAUCCAACUUGAUUGAACUAAUCUAUAGGGGUGGUAAUUGCUGACACGAUAUGAUAGCACAACUCAAACAUGAUCCGGAAUUAGCAGGUAUUAGCACGACCUGAAAUCAAGUGAGUUAUUAUUAGAUCAACCUAUUAAUGACACGACUAAACACGUAUCGGGUUGGGCAACCCAUAGGUUGACACAUUAACCCGAUGGAAAAUAGCUUUUUAGAAUAUUAUAAAUUAUAGAGGCAAUUUUAACCUACAAAUCAAAUUAACAAAUUAUCAACGUAAUGCAAGACAACUCCUUUAUCUUCCUCCAACUUAUUUAUCUUAUAGUUUUCCUCUAAAUUUCAAACCCUACACCCUAUAGCCAUACUUCUUUUCUCAAAACGCAACCCCUAAACCACAUGUUUUAACUCACAGGUUUGGAACUUGCAAGUGUAUUGUGCUAAAACUUUUUAAUUAGCUUUCAUUAUAAGAGGACGAAUUCUUGAUCAAUAUCGUAGUUGUCUUAAAUCGGAUGUUAUGAAAGCUUUAAUUUGUACUCAAGAUGGGCAAUUUGGAUAUAGAGGUAAUGAUUACAAACAUUCUUUCUUUCGUCUUACAUUUUAAUUUAAUAUUUUUAUGAAGGCUUAAUAACAAAGUAUCUGUGAUAUCGUUGUUACAUACUACACUAUUGCAUUUAGAUGAUCUCACUGAAAACAUCAUGAUAUUAAACAUCAAUUCCAAACUUUUGAAUCAAUUUAGGCUUCUAACACAGCCAUUAACAUUAUAUGAGGCAACUAGUCUUUUAACAUUUUCAUUUUUUUAUAUAUUUAUGCAUUUGUAAUUUGUAUCUAAAGAUUAAAUUAUUUUUUCCAUUGUGCUACUUAGGUGGAUUGAAAUAUUUGUUGAAGAAAUGAAGGCCUGUUAGAUGGAUGGUUAUCCAGGCUUAUGAGUUUAGCUUGAAAAUUGCAAAUAGAAUAUUUGAAAACUCAUAUUUAAUUUUGCAUAAUUAUUAGACUUUUUCUUAGUUGAAAACUACAAGUUCAACUUGGCUUUUCACUUUGAAAACUUUUUUAUGUAUUAUGUUUAAAAAAUUUGGAAACUUUAAUUUGAAAUUAAUGAUUUAAUCUUAUAAAUAGGUUUGCUCAUGUUACAAAUGAUUAUUAAUUUAUUAUGAUAUAAAUUAUUUAAUGGGUUGAACGGAUUGGGUCAUUGAUACGAGGCUAGCUGGUCUUAACAUUUAUCAAAUCCAUUUGCAUUGAGCUAGAGUCAUUUCAUGGUGUCCUCAUUGUGUCUUGGCCGAAUGGUUCCCUUUAUGGGCUGUUUGUGGCUUAUUUCCAUUGUUUUAUGUCAUUUGGUUGUUAAUUCCAAAAUUUGAGCUUGGUCAUCUUAGUCAAUUAGUUAAUAAAAGGGCUCAAGGUCAUGUUGACCAUGUUGACCAUAGUUAGUAGCCAAUUGGAGUUAAAUUCAUAGAGUUAAUUGGAGUUAGGGUUAAGUUCUUACUUCCUAGUUGGAUUAGGAGUUUGGUCCUGUAAAAGGCUAUAAAAAGCCUUUACUUUCAUGUUUUAUGGGCAUUGAAUAAAGUUGAGAAAAUUUUUCCAGAUUUCUUUACGAAUGAAAGAGCUCCCCUUGGCUUGUGAAGCCAAUAUUGAACAUCUUAGAGUUGCCCUAAGGUGGUUCGUCAACUUAUCAAUCAAGUAGUCCCCUUGAUUGUGGCGUUGUUCUACCCGUUCUAGUCUUUCUUGUGCGGUCCAAGAUAGAUUACAGACUCCGUCACCAAAUGUGAUUCCUAACCUAGAUCCGGGCUUGUGCGUCACGUUCUUGAUUCGUCUCGGCGUUUCAAGAAUCAUAUCAGUCAUAUUAACUCGUUAAUAAGCAGAUCAUAACACGAAAAUCUAUGAGUUGGGUUAGAGUUGAGAUUUUUUGACACGAACACGAUACGAUACAAUAAUAACACAACACGACCCGUUGCUACACCUACUAAACUAUGAUAAAUUAAUAGUAGUAAGAUGUAGCACAUUGCUGCAAUUGGCAGUUCGAGGGGCAUGUACCAACUGAAGAUAGUUUAGGGAGUUAUUUUACAAUUAACCCUUAAUUUUAUUAGUUGGGCAUAAACUUCAUCAUCCCUCGCUAUUAAUCCAAUUCCACACUAUGAAUUCUUUAGGUGGAUAUGAGAAUUUCAAUUCUAACUCCAUAAGUUAACCGGGUUUAGUGGCUAAAUUAAGUAAAACGCAUCCGUACAUAAACUUGGUGCAAAAAAAAAAAAAAGAAUCGUCUCUCUCUUCCUUUGUCAUUAGCAUAGCCAUCGCCGCUGCUUCUUUGCAUCCUCCAUCGCAUCCUUGCUUCAUCAACCUGUAUCAUUCUCUUGUGGGCUGACCUUUCAUCUCGCUUCUCUCCUCCAUCACCUCAAAUUGGAUUUCUCUUCUCUCUACUCUCUUUUCUCCUCUCCUCUUCUACAGACUCAAUGUCCGUCUUCAUCUUUGUUGCCUUCGCCUUAAAGGUGACUUCCUUAAAAUGAAAAAACAAAACUUACUUUUUCACACCAUUGUGAUCUAGUAAAAUAUCCACCAAAAAUUUUGCAAUAAAUUAAGUAUUUGAUAUUCCAAUUUGGUGAAACUAGAAAAAGAGAUUUGCUUAAAAUGAAAUGUGUUCGAUUUGGUUAAAAUCAAUAGUUCUUUGUCUCAUUGUUGUAAAAUGUUAAUUUUUUCUUUCAGCUUCUUUGUAAAAUAGACAAGAAUUGGGUCAAUGCCACUGCUCGACUGAACUUAACCAAUUUUAGUACCAGGUGCCUCUACUUGUUAUCCGUAAACUCAAAUGGUAAAAGAAUAAGGGCAUGAACCAUCUGUUGAUUUGAAGAAGAUGAAAAAGAUUUUGGUAAAUCCAGUUAUCGGUGGAAAAUUUAGAAUAGCAGCACUGCGGUUUCUGCCAUAAGCAUAGAACAGUGAGGAUUUAGAGCACAAGACAUGAAGGAUGGAGUUAAAUUUAGAUUUCAAUCACCUAAUAGGUGGAUUUGAAUAGCUACUUAUAAGAUGUGUCCAGUGAAUAAUGGUCUGCUAGAAUCGUAGUUUCAAAGUUUAUCGACAUAUAUUUCUUUCUAAAAAGUCUGUGCCUUUGGUUUUUUGUUGGAGAUGAUAGAAACUUUUCUCAGUAAUCACAAAUAUGAUAAGUUGUGAGUAGAGAGUUUGCAAAGAAAAGUACAUUGUAUAGACCUUGCCUGUUGAAAGCUAGCCAAAAGACCAAAAUAAUUGUAUACAAGGUUACCGUACAUUGCGCUUUAGAGUGCUCAAAGGCCUAAUUGUUUCUCUUCAAUAAGUCAGUUUAUGUGCAUAUGCAACUAAGAUUUCGACGCAUAUUGUAAUUCAUGUUAGGACUGAACCUUGAAUUCUUCGAGUUCUUAUUUGACUGAUAUUUAAUAUGCUCUACUGCUUGCAUUCUGCAGGAAAAGUCACACUAGAGAUGUAACAUUUUUGUGCUAAGUAGUAUAAUUUACUUAACUGCAUUCAUAGCUAUGACUUAAAUCACUUAUCACUUCACCACAAUUGAGUCAUAUUAAUGUCCUAGAAGGGUUUAAAGCUACAUUGGGUCUUGCUGGAUUUCCCUCUAUGCCAUUCAAUGUUCCAGUUCCUUUACAAUUUUUCGUUUCUUAUUCAAUGGUCGUGCAAUUCUAACUAAUUUUUCUUCUUUGAGGAAUGCAGAUGCUGAAUCCUGAAAGGGAUCAAGUAAAAUUUGACCUACAAUGGGUGACAAAAUCCAUUGCUACUAAUAGAUGAGAUGAAUUUGUUGGUUUAUUUAAAGGGCAAUUUGAAAAUAAUGUAUCUGAGGUAGGGACCUUAUAUUCUCAUAUAUUGAAGUGGUAAGCUGGAUUUCUCAACAUGGACAUCAAUUUUCAUGAGCUUAUAUUUUUCUUAUGGAGCUUGUAUGGAUUAGUAUUUGUUGGUUUAUUUUUAAGGCUUUGACCAGAAUAUUUUGAUUAUAGUUAUUUGCUCUGUUUUACUAUUUUAACAUGCUAUCCGCUAUUUCGCAAUUUUUACUUUGAUGCUCUCCCUAUGCUAGCUAAUGUAGUUGACACUGUUUACUUUGUCAUAUUUGCACUGGUAAUUGGACGAAACAGUCAUUGUUGACUAUGUGACGCCCCCACUUCUCCCAAAGGCGAACCCAAGGGUAUCUGCGGGACGCCUGUCCAACUCUCGCCAGGACUCGGUACAAAUUCAAUUCAAACUUAAGAAUAACCAAUCAGUACUAAAAGUCAAAAAUAUAAAGGAAGGUCAAUUCCUCAAUAAACGUUCAAGUCUUACAUCAUAAUCUACCCAAUUACUUUACAUUCCCAAAAUAUACAACUUCCAAAAUCAAAUUCUAGACAAAUACAUUCACAAUUCUAAUCAAGUGAAGCAUCAAGUAAGCUUCUCCAGAAUUCCUCUCAUUUCAGCUCCUGUUAAGGAAAAACAAAUCUAACGAGGUGAGCGGACGCUCGUGAGGCCAAGAAAACAUGCAAGGCAAGUUAUUCAAUAGCAAUAGCACUUACACAGUAGUGACAACUAUCACAUGCAAGGAAUUUCACAAUUUAUAAUAAACAACCUUGAGUAGGAUGCAGAAGCUCUCCGGAGCUAAUGAUUUCUUAUUUUGCCCAAGUUCAAUUUUAAAUACCUUUUCGGGACGACACCCCGUCCCCCGGGUAGGUAAUUGAGUUCAUAGCCUUUCACGUAUUCCAUGUAUGUUCUGAGACGAUUCGAGAGGUACCUCUCACCCAAAUCGGUGUGAUACUUACUAUCGUUCAUUUUAUAGUUCUGGGACGAUUCGAGAGGUACCUCCCACCCAGAUCAGUGUGGUACUUACUAUCAUCCAGAGGUCGAUGAGACAUCGCUCCAAUCGACUUAGAAUGCUUUAGGGUUCUGAGACGAUUCGAGAGGUACCUCCCACCCAAAUCGGUGUGGUACUUGCUAUCGUUCAGAGGUUUAGGGUACUGAGACGACUCGAGAGGUACCUCCCACCAAAUCGGUGUGGUACUUACAAUCGUUCAGCGGUCGAUGAGGCAUCGCUCCAAUCGACUUAGCAUAGCUUAGGAUACUGAAACGACUCGAGAGGUACCUCUCACCCGAAUCGGUGUGGUACUUACAAUCGUUCAGUGGUUGAUGAGCAACGCUCAAAUCGACGAUUCCAAAUAGGAACCACAAAUACAAAUCACAUGUACGAAUCACAAAUACGAAUCACAUAUAUGAAUCACAAAUACGAAUCACAUAUACGAAUUACAAAUACGAAUCACAUCCACAUUACUAUGUACAAGUCGAAUAUUAAUUCACAUAGCAAAAUACGAAUAUAAUUUCGUUCGAAAGAGAACGAGUACGGUAACGUACACACUCGUCUCAAAAUUUUCAAUUCACAUAACGGAUAAGAAACAGUUAACCACUUAGCAACAAAUUCAUGCAUUUGACACUCACCAAGUAAACAAAGAAGAAAUGCCCACUUGAGGGUUAAGGCGUCCACCGUAGGAUCCUCUCGAAGGUCCUCUUGAGUGCCUGAGCAAUUAAUAAUUAAAUUAUUACGCACUAUCACUUAAAACCCCUUAUUAUCAAGAAAGAUUGUACACUUGUAUAAUCUAAGAAAAUCUCGCAAGUACGGGCCUUAAUUACUCGUAAAUCGAGCCUCAAAAGUGGGGUUUUAAAAUACAAGCGAAAUCUGAUUUUCAUCUUUGAAAUCAAGUGUAAAAUGAUCAAGUCAUAUCGAAGGAAAAAGAUGAGUUCUAAAACUCAAUUCCUUUAAGUUAGGAAUUUUCAGAUUUAUUACACGUACUUUGAAAAAUCGUAUCUCACUCUCUACAAGUCCAAAAUUGGAAAACUUGGUACCAUUGAAAACUACUUCCAAAGUACUAAAAGUUCCUAGAAUACACUUUCCCAUGAUUCCUAAUGGAAGGCAUUCAAAAACUGGCUUAAAGUUACUGUUUUAGGCUUGCGAGACAGUUUUGAGGUUGGUUUUUCGCCAACUUUGGAAAUUCGGCAAAAUUCAUAAAAUUUGAACUAGUCUCUCAAGUUUGAAACUCAAUUAGAGUUGCAAUCAAAGUUUAAAACAAAACAAGCGGAACAAGAAUCGGAGUUUUGAGCACCAAGAUAUAGCAGCUCAAAGUUGGUCAAAAUCGAGAUUGUUAGGCAAUUUUCCAAUUUGGAAGUAAAACUUUGGUGACUUGUUCGUACGUCAAAACAGUCUUAGAAUGACACCAAAAUUGAUACAUUUCAACUUGCACAUGAGGAGUACUCCUCUACGAAAUUUCACUUAAAAAAUCACAAGGGAAGGUAGUUAACUAAACUACCAAAGUUCAAUGGAAUCCGAAGACAAAUCUGUCUUCAAGCUUCCGUUUUCCGUUUUCAAACAUUUGGCCAAUGAAAUCAUCUCAAAUCUGGUUCAUUUAUGUAGACAUUGUCUAAGAAACAUCCAAGAUACGUUUGGUAGGUGGUUAUCGCCAAGAAUUUCGAAUAAUAAGUCCCAAGUCAAGAUUUGCUAUAAACCAGUCCAAGGUAAGGGUUUUCAAAUCAUUGAGUCAGUUUCGGAUUUCGGCCACAACUCACUCAAUUCAACUUGUAAUUAAGCGUGGUUAGUGGCGUUGAAAAAUAGAUUCAUAAAGUUACAAUUUCUCAGAAGAAAUCAUUUUCAAAAUCUGUCCACAGCUAGCUCAUAUUUGAGCAUCCAUUCGCUGCUCAAAACAGAGCUCCCAGUGUAGACUUGAAACAGGACAGUCAUGUUCAAAUGAUUGGUAUGGACUACUCACGUAAAAUCAGAAUGUGAAUUUUAUACCGUUGGAAAGAUGGGAAUGUCUAGUUUCCAGUGCCACAAACGGCACUCGAUUUCGACAUCGGUGCAAAAAGUUAUAGCCAUUUGAAAAACACUGCCAGAGCAGUAACGGGAAAAAUUUCCAGUUUUACUGAUUUCCGAAAACAUCACAUUUGGCCAACCAAAUCACGAAAUUUUUUGAUGAAAAUUCAUACACAACUUAUAUUACACAUAUCCAUCAGAAACAAGUCAUUAGAACCACCUAAAAUUGCACUAAAGGUCACGGAAGGAGCAAGGGCAGAAUGGUCCUUUUUUGCUCAACUCACUCCCUUGAGUUUUCCUUCAACAACAUAACAUUUAUCCACUAGAUUGAGCACUAAACCAACAUUAAUAACAUCAAAACUCAUCAAAUCAGUCCACCAACCAUAGUGGGAGUUCAUAGAGCCCACACAUCAAGAUCUACAAUAAUCCAAAGCUACCCACUUGAAGUUACAAGCUUCUAGGUGCAAUAUAACUUACAAAAACUAAGAUUCAAGGGCUUGAUCGUUGAUUACCUCCUUAGAUGAUCUUAAUCAGAAAUUUUGGCCCUUAGAGCUCCAAGAAAACCGUGGAUAAGCUGCUCCUCUCCUAGUCCAAGGUAGUCUCCAAGUUAUUUGCAAGUUGGAUGCAAAAUUUGAGAUGAAAUGGAGGAAGAUUGGUGCAAAAUUUGGAGUGAAAAUGGUGAAGCUUUUCUUCCUUCUUCCUUGCUGUUUUGGACAUCCAGAAUGAGAGAGAAGAGAGAGAGAGUGUUGUGAUGAAUAAAUCUUCUUGAGGAAGCUUGGUGGUUGGUGCCCUUUUUGGCACAAAAGUCAACUCUCACUUGCGCGUAUACGCGCGUUUCGCGCUCGAUUCCUCUCGAGUUUGUUUCACUUGUGCACUAAACCUCCAAUGCACUUGUAUUCAUAUAAUUAUUGUUCACUCUUAAUGGUCUAAAAAUAAUGGUUUUAAAUCCCUCAAUUAAUCGCACACGCGAAAACGCGUAUUUCCGAUUUUGCGCGAUAUAGUGAAACUUCUAAGAAAUUCUUAUUACAAUAAUAUAACUAACUAACAUUUGAACGUUUAAACAUAAAAAUACCUAUUUUAGGGCUAAUAUACAUGUCUCCAAUUUUCCAACCUCAUUGUACUCUUAAAUCGGUUAUCGUUCCCAAACGUGCAUUCACUAUUUUCACUUAUCGGACUUCGAAAAAUUAAUUUUUGAAACGAGCCACUCUAAAAAUAUAAGUAAGUCAUAGAUCAAUAUAAUUAGGUCUCAAGAGGCUAGAAAAUAAUAUUCGGAGUGAACGGGCAAUUAAAUAUUUAAAUAAACUUGAAAUAAGAAUUUAAAAUAAGAAAAUUUGCAAGUCCUCACAGACUAUGAUUACCUAAAUUGUGUUUUAUAGUCAUUGGAUUUUAAUUUGUUUUUAAUUUGAUAGGUGAAUGUAUUUUGACUUCCUUUCUUUUUGUACAAUACUAUGCAAUACUGAGAUUCUAAGGCGUCUUGUUAGAUCUAUUAUGCACCAUUUGUUUAAAUUACACUUAUUUGGCUUUUGUUUCUAAUGAUCUUCUCAGUUUUGUUGUUGGUGAAAAAACUGAAGACAAAAAAUAUGAUCUACGCCUUUGAACACAAAUGUGCUUGUAUCGUCACUUUUCUUGCUUUGACUAGCUUGAUUUACUCUUUCUAUGGCUCUCUUUUGUUGUUCUUUGCCUUAUUUUGUGAUUGGAAAAAAUGCACUUUUCAUCCUCAAAGUUUGGGCUGUUGAUCAAUUUCAUCCUCAAAGUUUUACUCCAAACACAUUUCAUCCUCAAACUUUCGUAAUUUUGGCUAAUUAAGGACAAUUGACGGGAAAUGGAGGAAAAAUUAAAUAUUGGGACGGAACUUUGCACUUGAGAAGCACGAUCCGUCAGAUCCAACUUUAUACCCAACAUAAUCGGGUCAAACCGAAUGGAGACACUUUUUCUAACGGAUGAAAAUUUGGAAAAUAGCAAAAGGAAAAAAUCUCUUGUCUUCUCUUUCUUUCUUCUCCAUUCUUCAGCACUAAAAGUUAUUUUGGCCAAUCGUUUCAUCCACUUUUCAAGCAUCUGUUGGCAAGAAGGAGGGCAUAGACGCCAUCCGUGGAGCAUUUUAGGUGAGGGAAAAAAUGGCAUUGCGGAAGAAAGAGCUCCACAUUUGUCCACCCCCAAAUUACGGUAUUUAUACCCAAAUCAACAACUACAUUGUAUAAAGACAUGUGUUUUUUGGGAGAAGAAAACCUGAUAUGUGGUCCCUUGUGUUUGUACUUUUUUCCCACUAUAAUUUAUGGCUAUUUUUUUUUCCAAAUCUAGCCAUUUGCAUGAGGUAUAAAUAAAUUAAAAAAUUUGUCUUGGUUUGAUUAUUAUAAUGUGAAUGCGGUCCCUUAUGUCUGAUGAGAGUUGCUGCUUGACUAUAAUUUUGUGGUGAGAGUGAUUAAUAAACAAUAAUGCUUGGUUUAUUUUGCCGGCCAUGUGUAUGGAAAAAGUGUUAAAGUGGUCCUUGUUAGGUAGUUUUUGUGUGGGUCAACAAUUUGUUGUGCUGAAAUGAUGAAGUUUUUUUUUCCCUGAAGAGUCUGAUAUAUAUUGUUUUCUUUAACCAGAAACGGGCAGCACAUUUAUUACAUUAAAAUAUCACCAUGGAGGCCUCAUUUCAUAUACUCCUGAUCCCCAUUAUGAAGGUGGAGAUUUGUGUGUUUUUACUAUGUUGAGAGUAUACGUCUAAGUGUUUUCGAAGUGGAUCGAUUAACUGAGAGUGCUGGUGUAUAUGGUCAUAAGGUGUACUAUGGUUGGAAAAAUAACACCUUUAGGAGGAUAGACAUCAGUAGGGAGUUGAAUGGUUAUGUUAAGGGAGAGGUUGGACCAACUAAGGAAGUUAACUUAUACUUUGAAGUAUCCUUUCAUGAAAUUCUAGUGCAACAACUUGGUUAUGAUCCGUAUGAGAUAGAUGAGAUAGAAAAUGAACCCCAAAAUGGUGAUGGUAACAAUAAUAUUAGGGAUGAAGGUCAAGGAGGGUGUGCUACUAAUAAUAGUGAUAAUGAUUCCAAUGCAAGUGAUGAGACUUUUUUUCAACUAUUGAUUCAGAUUAUGAAAUAGAUGAUGAUGCUGAUGAUGGUAUAUUUCAUGAUAAUGUUGACAAAAAUGCUGAAUGGUUUGGGGUAGACAAUCACAGGAAAGAAAAUGUGGUUCCUGAUCCUUUGAAUGAAACAGAGAAGGUUCCUGAUUCUGAUGAAACAGAGCAGGUUCCUGAUUCUAAAUCUGAUUUUGAAAGCAUCCAUGAGUCUGAUGAUCAAGUGUCUAAAUUGAAGUCUCGUACUUUUGAUCCUAAACAUAUUGACAAUCCAAAAUUAGAGCUAUACAUGUCCUUUACAAGUCUGAAACUUUUCAAGAUUGUUGUACAUAAUUAUAGUGUGAAACAAGGCAGGCCUUGUAAGUUUGUGAAACAAGAUACAGUGAGGGUGAGGGCUAGAUGCAGAAAUAGUGAAUGUAAUUGGGUUAUAUAUGCUAGAAAGUUAAGUGGGGAUGGAACUAUUCAAAUAAGAAUAUUUGAAGAUAAUCACACAUGUAGUUUUACAUAUAAUAACCCUCUUGUGCAUUCUGGAUGGGUAGCUAGGAAGUACUGUGAAGAGUUUAGGUGUAAUCCUAAAUUAGAUUUGGAGCAUUUUAGGAAGACAGUAAUGAAAGAAAAUAGGUGCUCCUUCACAAAAAAUCAAACAUAUAGGGCAAGGAGAAAAGCAAUGAAAAUUGUUCAGGACAGUGAAAAAGAUCAGUACAGCAAAUUAGGAGUUUAUAUGCAUGAAAUUCUAAGAUCCAACCCUGGUAGCACUGUUAUAAUGAAAACUGUUGAUGGCUUUAGAGACUCAAAAACAGGGAAAGGCAGAUUUGAGAGGCUGUACAUCUGUUUUGCUGGAGUGAAGCAUGGUUUCCUAGCUCGAUGUAGGCAAUUUAUUGGAGUAGAUGACAUUUUUUUGAAAGGAUCAGUAGGAGAAGUUUUGCUAGCAGCUGUUGGAGUUGAUGCCAAUAAUGACAUUUUUUCAAUUGCAUAUGUUGCAGCAGAGGGUGAAACUAAGGACUCAUGGUGUUGGUUCUUCAAACUAUUGAAAGAAGAUUUGGAGAUUGAAAAGGAUUAUGAGUGAACAAUAAUGAGUGACAAACAAAAAAGUCUAAUUGAAGCAUGUGAUAUGAUUUUCCCAAAUGCAACCCACAGAUUUUGUGUGAAACACUUGCACAAUAAUUUUUCAUCUGCUGGUUUCAAAGGAGAAGGCUUGAGGAGAGCAUUAUAGACUGUUGCCAAAGCAACAACACCAGCCCAAUUCAUUAGCAGAAUGGAAGAAAUGGCUGAAAUUGAUGUAGAGGCAGCCAAGUUUGUCCACCAAGUCAAUGGAGCAGAGCUUACUUUAGCACUCAUCCUAAAUGUGCUAUGUUAUUAAAUAAUAUCUGUGAGUGCUUCAACAGCAAAAUUCUUGAUGCUAGGGAGAAGCCAAUAAUUGAAAUGUUUGAAACAAUACGGCUGUACAUGAUGCAGAGAAUGCAAAAAAAAAUAGAGAUCUGGCCAAAGAGAAGUGGCAGACUUAUCCUUACUGCCCCAGAAUUCUUCACAUUAUGCAAAAAAAUAUAGAUAGAGCACCUGACUGUUUUCCAUUCAAGUCAAAUGACAAUCUUUAUGAAGUCAGCUGCCCAUAUGGUGACCAAUAUGUAGUGAACAUCAAGGAGCAAACAUGCUCUUGCAGAAAAUGGGAACUAACAGGUAUUCCCUGUCCCCAUGCCAUUGCUACAUUGUGGAUGGCUAAAAAGGAUCCUCUGUUAUAUGUUUCAAAAUGGUAUACAGUGGAGACAUAUAUGAAGUGCUAUGAAGGAUCAGUGUGUCCCAUGAAUAGAGAAAGUGAAUGGGGGCUUACUGAUGUUGGUGAAGGUCCUUUGCCACCCUUAUAUGGGAGAGCACCUGGAAGGCCUAAGAAGCUGAGAAGGAGAAAUGCAGAGGAGGUUCAACAAGCCAAGGAAAAAACUAAGAAGAAGGUGACAAGAGUGGGACAGAUUAACAAGUGUAGAUACUGUCAUCAAACGGGACAUAAUAUGAGGUCCUGCAAGCUUCUCAAAGAUGCUCAAGAUCUUGCAGUUGCAGAAACUGAUAUUAGUUCAAGCCAAGUUGCUGCUUCUACCAACAAUCCAGCAAGCCAAGAUGGAAAAAAAGCUAUAAGUUGUCUUGAUGACUUGUUACAUCUAUCUUUGCUAUUUGGUAUAUAAAUAACAUAUGUUCCUUUUAAACCGUAGGGAACAAGGAAAACCAAGAAGCCUGCUGCUAAGUCUUCAAAUAAAAGAGCAUAAAAACCUGCUACAGCUUUUGAUUUUUGUCUUUAUGCAAUUUGACUUUUGCUACCUCACUGUUUUGUGCAGAAGAGACAGCAAUGUACAAGAAGAGUUGCAGCUGCAGUUUGUAAUGAUGAUUCAAACACUAAACAUCAACAGGAUGCUGAGCCACUGGUUGAGAUUGACAUAACAUCCUCUGCCCCAGAUCAAGUUGGCCAGGAUAUGUACGAAGUGUUUAGGCUGUCAAGGUCUCAAGUCAAAUAUAACACCAAACAAGCCAGCACACAAACUAAAGAACAAGUAGAGAUGCCCUUCAGGAUUAGAGAUGGUCAUAUGCAUGUUGCUGCUACUGCCAAGGCAGAUUUAAGUGUUCCUAAUUCAUCUAGAUCGAAGGGAAAGGAGAAACUACUGUGAUAGGAGAAACAACAUGCUGAAUAGUUGCUGCUUUUGUUCAAGCCAAGUUGCUGCUUUUGUAAUUAACAUGACUUUUGCUGUUUCAACUUUUGCCUUGCCUAGUAAUUAUGGAAGUGCAGGCUGUAAUGUGAUAGCUUGCUUUAUUUCGUUUAUGGACCCAUGUUCAACAACAAUCAUGUAGUUUGCUUUAUUUCAUUUGGAAUGCACUUUAAUUGUAUUGAAGUUAUGAUAUAUAUAUGGCAGCUGUUUUCAUGUUCAUCUGUUUGUAUUAUUUGCAUUUGUUUUCUAGGUUGGUUUAUCAGUACAUGUGGGACAAUCUUGGUUUAUCAGCUUGGUUUUCAGCUUGGUUUAUUUGCAUUUGUUUUCCAGCUUGGUUUAUUUGUAUCUGUUUGUAUUAUCAGUACAUGUGAUUUAUCACUUCAUGGCCAUUUUAUAUAUAUGAUAGGAACAACACUUUGACAAGGACCAUUUUCUUACACUCAACGCAUAGCUUUACAAACAAAAUAAAUUGCAGAGUUCAUAAAUUGCAUUGUUGCCAAAUACAUUUCCCUUCCUAAAUCCCACCUUUUACAUAAAUUGCAGAGUUCAUUUGGACCCUUUGUACAAACAAAAUAAGUCCCUUUCUAUACCCUGCAAUUGGAUAUUAUUUCAUAGGGAAAAAUGCAACUCUCAUUCCAACAACAAACAAGGUCAACUUCAAAAUGUUCUUCUACAAUUUUAGCAAAAUCACUCCAAUGUUAGCAGCAACUUGCCUCCCUUUGCUUUUCCCUCGCCUUUACUGCUCCAACUCAAUACUAGCAAAACCACCAAAAGCACAAUUAUCGUAAUAAAAAAUUUGUCCCUCUUACGCAUUCUUUCAACUUGUUCUUCCAUUUUGUUAAUCCUUUUUAGCAAACCAGGAAUGAGAACUCUCCCUCUUGGACAAAUUGGCUCAUCAACCCAUUCAAAGUACCUGCAUCUCUCAGGUCUCUACCAUAACAAUAAUGACAUUUUUCAGAAAUUAGUUAGCUAAAUUAACACAUUGAAUGACCAAUAUUUUUACACAAAUAUUUCUUACUGGCCACAGAGAGCAACCAAGGAAUCUUCUUCCCGGAUUCUCGCCGUGCCAACAGGUGCUCAUUUUUGUUCUCAACCCACAGUUGCAGAAUGGAGUUGAUGAACCACUGGAGACUUCAGAACUUCUGCUCCUCAUUAGGCAAAAAUGAGACUUCAGAACCAUUGCCAGAUGCUCUGAGGAUGAAAUGUUUAAAGCUCCAGAGAUUGGCAAAAAAAUUUUGGGGUUGCAGAAAGGCAGAGGGAAGAAGGAGAAGAAAGUUUGCUUUUCGUCCGUUGCAACACUUUUUGUUCAUUUAAAAAAUGGCUCCAUUCGGUUUAACCCAUUUUUUGUUGGGUUUACAGUUGGGUCUAACGCCAAUUUCUUCAUUUCCCGUCAAUUGUCCUUAAUUGGCCAAAAUUGCAGAAGUUUGAGGAUGAAAUGUGUUUGGGGUGAAACUUUGAGGAUGAAAUUGAUUAACAGCCCAAACUUUGAGGAUGAAAAGUGCAUUUUUCCCUUUUGUGAUUUAAUAAUGUAAACUUUUGUAGACUUUUAUCUCAAGGCUAUAGUGUUAAAUGUGGUGCAUUACUUUGGAAAUCUUCGGAGGCUUAUUUUAUUUUAUUUUUUAAAUACCCAUAGAAUUGUGCAACCUUUCCUGAUUUAUAACCUAUCUUAUUUUGCUUGCAGAGGUAAUGUUCUAGUGCCAAUGAAUCUUCUCAGCAAGGUUGGUGAAAUAUACCCCUUGAACCCCUUGGAAGAUUAGAACACUAGUACCCCUUAUGUAGGUGUAUUUGAUGCGAGAAUCACUGAGCAAGAUUUGAGGAAUCACCUUAAACGAAUUAGUUUUUUUGCUAUGUUCUUACUAUUUCGCAAAGGAGUUUGGAUAUAUGGUUUUGUCACUGUUGUAUCAAUGGGAAUGCAAGGAUUAAAUAAAUGUUUUAGGUUAGUUGGUGUUUUUCACUGAAGAUUACAUAGUAAAAGUUAAUUUGGUCUGGGCACUAUUUCUUCAACUUUUUUUUUGGUCAUCUUCCUACAUUUUCUAUAUCUAACUUGUUAUACGGUACCUUCCUCGAGGUACAUGAUAACCAUUUGUGUAAGGAACAACAGAGGAGCUGACCUUACUAUCUAUUUCAAAGAGCAGCCGAACCAAGAUAUUUUGCUAACUUGGUCUGAUGCCAUUAUUUGUAGAUUGAAAAAGAAUUUGAAAAGUGAUUAUCCAUUGAGAGACUGCUUUAUAUAUGUUAGUACAAUGAAAAGAAUUUGCAGGAAAGCCGUAGGGGCUAGUGGCUAGGGGAAGAGCAUUACUUGUGUUUAACCAUAGGUAUUUUUAUUCUCUUAGACAAUGGGAGUGAGAGAUCAAAAUGUUUAGCUAAAUUGUGCAAAUUUGUAUUUACUUGUUGAAGUUGGUAAGAUCAUAAUUAAUGUUUACAUAGUAAGCAUUGAUUUGAUGAUGUGGGCCAAUAUUUUUACUUUAUUUUCUAGGCGUAAUUUUGGUAAUGAAAAUAUUCAAGUGAUGUUGUGAUAUGUAGACAUUUCAUUCUAAUAAACAAAAAGGCAAAAAAAAAAAAAAGUGAUGGUAUGAUAGUUAAGAUGCUUUAGUAGUCAUGUAAAUCUACUCUAAAGUUAAAAUGAAAACAGACCAUAUACUACGAUUAUAAAGAUUUUUUUAAUAAUUGAAAAAGUUGUGCAAAUUAAGGCAAAUUAUCUCCUUUUUCCCCACUAAAAUAUUGUUAUUAUUUGAAGGAACCAAUCUUUUUAAUUCUAAAUUUAAGUAAUUCUAAUCCUCCAUGAAAUCUUCUCCCAGUCAAACAAAGAAUUUGGAGUUUCAAAUAAACUCUUACUCAAUUCUAUCUAGAGCAAAUUAUCCUACUAGCCAUUAAAUUCUUAGAAUGUUUUAGCCAAUCAACUAUUAAUAAUAUAUUUUUAUUUGCUAAAUUAUGAAAAGUAUAAAUUUUGAAUCAUUUCAUCUGACUAUUAAUUGUAUGUCUUGUGAAUCAUGCGAAUUUUUAAAUUUGAUAGAAUUAAUGAUGAUAUUAGGUUGAAUUAUUUAAAAUUUAUACUUUUGAUAAUUCAAUAAUUAAAAACGUACUAAUACUUAUUAAAUGAUCAAAUUUUGACUAUUAAAAAAGUUGAGUGCCUAUCCCAAUAAUUCUAUUAGGCAAACCAAAGAAUUGCAAUGUCUUGGGACUGGAAUUCAUAGAAUUUCAAUUCUACAAGAAUACAAUUCCAACUCCAUAGCUUCUAAGGCAAAUGUAAUUAAAGCCGGUUCAUUUAUUCAGCAGAGUUACACACUGAAAGUGUGCGCUCGGCAACGAUGAUUAGCAAAAUAAGGUUGAUCGGACGGCCACUUUCGGCAGCGGUUCUGGCGCAGCCACAGCUGCCGACGUAUUCCAAUUGUUACUCCACAUUAGUGUCCCCGUCAGCGACAACCGCAUCAUCAUCUGCUGCUGCUAUUGAAGCUGAGAGAAGCAUAAGGGAUGGACCUAGAAACGAUUGGUCUCGGGAUGAAAUUAAAUCCAUCUAC
RNAcentral lists this long non-coding RNA (33734 nucleotides) under Coffea arabica (coffee). Its description in RNAcentral is "long non-coding RNA (CARA_LNC002571)". Lineage: Eukaryota; Viridiplantae; Streptophyta; Magnoliopsida; Gentianales; Rubiaceae. The record is from RNAcentral.